This is a long non-coding RNA of Oncorhynchus tshawytscha (Chinook salmon), 1231 nucleotides long. RefSeq lists it as uncharacterized. The transcript has 5 exons. NCBI's taxonomy places the organism in Eukaryota, Metazoa, Chordata, Actinopteri, Salmoniformes, Salmonidae. The record is from RefSeq and is a predicted model, not a curated record.
UUUUUUGCAGUAGUUAGUUAUUUACUGUAGCUUGCUAACGGUCCGGUAGGGUGAAGCUAACGUUACAAAAUCACAUCGACAGGUAGCAGUUCGAUAAUUACAUUUAUUUGCUUUAGAAUGACGUUUUAUGAACGCUAACUAGAUCGAUUUUGGUUUAGAUUAAUAAAAUGUAGUUUUAGUUAGCUUGACUUAAAAGUAUCCAAUGAAAUGUUACCCCACCAGUCUGUGCAUGCCUGUUGUUUGCCCAACCACACCGUGACUAAACUUUACAGUUGUUGUCGACACAAUAAUACAAAUAAAUAGUUAUUCAUAAACUGAUGUUCUAUGAACAACUGACUGGUCCAGUGAGUAAUUUUAGCUACCUGUUAAUUCCCAAAAACCUAGUCGGUAUCAACGUGUGGUUAAUUUAGGUUUCCCCAUUAACUCACAGCAAAAAACUAUACCAUUUUCAAACGCAAAACGUUAUUGUUGUCUGCUUGUUUUAGCCAAUUAUAAAACUACAACAUGUCUACAGAUUACUUGUCAACAUUGCCUGCUCCCUAGUGUUCUCACUACUUAGGAAAAUAUAAUAGUGUAGGGCUUCCCUCACGGGUACUAGCAAGCUACCGACGGGAACAUUUAAAACUAGCCAAGAGGAACAACAGAAAGAAACGGACUAUACAGCUACAAGUAAGAAUACAUCUAAAUGAGAAGAUCCUGCCAUGGAAAAGACGACUGGAUGGACAGGAAGUGGAAAGGAGGGGAAAUAACUCCCACCAUGCAGCAGGACACCUUCAGCUCUUCAGAUGGCCAAGGAAGUAGCACAGAACAUCCCCAACAUCCCCUUCCCAAAUUGAUAUAGAACCUUCACAAAAACACAUGGAGCAACAGUGAAAAGAAAUGGCUGAGGAUACACUAAAAAUGUCUGAGUUCAACAAAGCCAACAACUGCUUCAUGUGUGCCACUGAUAAAGAACCUGGAUGUGGCCCAAAGACUGACUGGACUGAAUGUUUUGCCAACGGUGGUUCCAUGUGCUGUGCCUAGGAAUGAAGACAAGAGUUCAGAGUGAAGAACACAAACUGGAAGUGCAGUCUGUUGUUUAAAAUGUAUGCUAUACCCCAUCCACACUGAAGAGGCUCUGACAUGUACAUCAACCAGGGAUAAAGAGGAGGUUAACACUGAAAUGUUUUGUGCUAAUUUGAAGUUAAGUGUCUGUUGACAUGUUGGAAAAGAUUAAAAGGUCUACAGUUUC